CCUACGGGUGGCAGCAGUGGGGAAUAUUGGGCAAUGGGCGCAAGCCUGACCCAGCAACGCCGCGUGAAGGAAGACGGCUUUCGGGUUGUAAACUUCUUUUGUCAGGGAAGAGUAGAAGACGGUACCUGACGAAUAAGCCACGGCUAACUACGUGCCAGCAGCCGCGGUAAUACGUAGGUGGCAAGCGUUGUCCGGAUUUACUGGGUGUAAAGGGCGUGUAGCCGGGUUGACAAGUCAGAUGUGAAAUCCUGCGGCUUAACCGCAGAACUGCAUUUGAAACUGUUGAUCUUGAGUACUGGAGAGGCAGACGGAAUGCCUGGUGUAGCGGUGAAAUGCGUAGAUAUUAGGAGGAACACCAGUGGCGAAGGCGGCUUACUGGACUGUAACUGACGUUGAGGCACGAAAGCGUGGGGAGCAAACAGGAUUAGAUACCCCAGUAGUC
This 442-nucleotide ribosomal RNA is filed under the name uncultured bacterium. RNAcentral describes it as "partial 16S ribosomal RNA". It matches the Rfam family "Bacterial small subunit ribosomal RNA", at positions 338 to 795 of the family's 1533-position model. The record is from RNAcentral.